Molecule: transfer RNA, 76 nt
Filed under: Deltaproteobacteria bacterium
Lineage: Bacteria; Pseudomonadati; Myxococcota; Myxococcia
Description: tRNA-Phe
Rfam family: tRNA
About the family: Transfer RNA (tRNA) molecules are approximately 80 nucleotides in length. Their secondary structure includes four short double-helical elements and three loops (D, anti-codon, and T loops). Further hydrogen bonds mediate the characteristic L-shaped molecular structure. tRNAs have two regions of fundamental functional importance: the anti-codon, which is responsible for specific mRNA codon recognition, and the 3' end, to which the tRNAs corresponding amino acid is attached (by aminoacyl-tRNA synthetases). tRNAs cope with the degeneracy of the genetic code in two manners: having more than one tRNA (with a specific anti-codon) for a particular amino acid; and 'wobble' base-pairing, i.e. permitting non-standard base-pairing at the 3rd anti-codon position.
Source: RNAcentral
GGCCAGGUAGCUCAGUUGGUAGAGCAGUGGACUGAAAAUCCACGUGUCGACGGUUCAAUUCCGCCCCUGGCCACCA